Sphaerodactylus townsendi is the source of this 2406-nucleotide long non-coding RNA. RefSeq lists it as uncharacterized. The record is from RefSeq and is a predicted model, not a curated record. The transcript is spliced from 3 exons. NCBI's taxonomy places the organism in Eukaryota, Metazoa, Chordata, Lepidosauria, Squamata, Sphaerodactylidae.
UAUAUAAAAAGAUCAGCAACUCUUGAGAAGUUUCAAAAGCUUUCUUCGGCUUGGUGCUCUCCGUGAUCCAGUCUGCCUCUCCUAACUGAAACUCAGGGCUUUGAACAGAUUUGCACCAAAGACCGGAAGAGCAAGAAGCAGCGUCAGAGACUGACUUCGAUCCUGCCAAGAUGAUUUCCUACAGACUCCGGCCUUCUUCCAACCCUCGCCGCUAUGGCUGUGGCUACGUCAGGGGUGCGCACUGCUGCCGUCCAAAUGGGUACCGUUAUGGUUCCUACCAUCCAUAUCCUUCUCCCGCUUGCCUGUACGCCGGAUAUCGCUCUGGCUAUAACCUUUCUCGCCAUGGCUGCGGCUCCCCCUGCUAUGGCUCCAGCGGCUUCAACUGCCGUUAUCCCAUUGGAAGUAAGAGUUCUAGCACUCGCAGCCGUCGCCCACAGUAACCUAGAUUUAAAAAAAGCUUCGUUGGAACAGAGACCGAGAUAUGACGGAAUAAGGAUGGACAAACGAUCUGCAAAUGGUGGACAAGGCUUUCAAAGAGACCAAGCUUCCAAGAUUUACCACUUAAGUUGAUUAUUUGAGGUAGGUCUCAGAACUACUGAAACUGAGAUGUGAUGUAAGAGACUAAUGGAGUAUCACCAAAACAAUAAUGUGGGAAUGAGAUGUUUGACCCUCUUGGCCGUUUGCCCAAACUUUCUCAGGCAUGGGGUAAUGAUGAUGAGGGCUACCACCCAUAUUCUUAACUCCCAUCUUAAGCUGAAUUAAAAUAAAAAACAGAAAGAAAAUGGCUGUCAGGGAACAUUCCUUGUCUCUUUACAUCACACUGAGUUUGGUCUUUGUACAAUUCACACAAUUGACCUAGGACCAUUUUCUACGAGUCCUUCAAGGACAUCCAAAGGUUCCUUUUAAAGCACACAAAAAAAGUUAAUUGUUUAUUUCACUCACUUUUAGACAAAUAAACAAAACAGUUGGAGAAAACAAAAAAGAGUUUGCUGAUAGUUUUCCAACUGCAGUUUGAGAAACCCUGGUGGGUUUUUUUGGGGAACCUUACCAAGACGUUUAAUAGUAUACCAGGUGUUUGAUAUCAAGAGUUUGUGCAUUCGUGACUUCUCCACUUCCCAUCUGCUCAGUUAACGUGUAGAUGGAUCAUCUGGAACCGACAAGUAAUAGCUAAGAAUAGUACCUCUAUGUUCAGAGGCAGUGCCUCUGAUUAUUAGAUGCAGAGAGCAAAGCGGCAGGGUGUGAAUCAUCUCCACACCUUUCUUGUGAGCCUCUCUGUGGAAAAUGGCUGCCUACUGUUGGAAGCAGAGUGCUGGAUGAGAAGAAAAACCUUCUAUCUGAUCGAGCAUGGCAAAUCAUUUUGUAAAUGAUCCUUACCAUUUAUUUCUGCUUUGAAACUUAAACCUUGGCUCAUUCCACACAUGCAGAAUAAUGCACUUUCAAACUGCUUUCAGUGCUCUUUGAAGCUGUGCGGAAUAGCAAAAUCCACUUGCAAACAGUUGUGAAAGUGGUUUGAAAAUGCAUUAUUUUGCAUGUGCGGAAGGGGCCUUAGAAACGUAAGAAGAGUUUGUGUUUAUAUUUUCUGAACGAAGCUAAUAAGAGUCCAGGUUUGAUUCACAGAAGCUUAUGCCCCGAAAAUCUUGUUCAGAUCUAAGGAAGAGUUAAUUCCAGCUGUUCUCCUGCAGUUCAACAGGGCUGUCCGCUGAAACGAGUCAACGUUAAGUAAAGAUGAAGAGUCUGGAUUUAUAUCCUGCUUUUCUCAACCAUAAGAAGUCUCAAAGCAGCUAAAAAACUCCUUCCCUUCCUCUCCCCACAACAUACAGCUUGUGAGGUAAGUGGGACUGAGUUUCCAGAGAACUGUGACUAGCUCAAGGUCACCCAACAGGCUUCAUGUGGAGGAGUGAGAAAUCAAACCCAGUUCACCAGAUUAGAGUACACCGUUCCAAACCUCUACAUCACUUUGACUCUUAAAAUUUCACUCCUCUUACUUCUUUCUAUUAGAGCACAUUCUGCAUUAAAAUACUGAACUAGUGGGGUCUUGUUUUAAAAUAUAUAUAUUUAAAAAAAAUAUGACUAUUGCACAGGAAAUGAAAUGGUCGACAACAGACAGAGGAUAUCCAUGCAAGGAACAUGUAUACACCCCUCCCAAUUAUAAUUUAAAAUACAUAUGAAAGCCACUAAUUAAAACUAUUGUUUCGCAUUCAUUUAACAUGUGUUCAUACUUCUACUGUGCUUUAUCUCUGGUUGGUUUCUAGAUUUCUACAAGUCAAAUCAUAUUGCAUUGUCCAUUGUAUGUUCCGCCCUGUUGAUUAUGUUGUAUUAUUCUCUGCAAUAUACUUUUGAGUAUCAGAGAGAAAGGCAGACUAUAAAUAAUGUGAAUAAAUACAUAGAUAGAUAAUAAAUUAAAAA